Molecule: ribosomal RNA, 468 nt
Filed under: uncultured bacterium
Lineage: Bacteria
Description: partial 16S ribosomal RNA
Rfam family: Bacterial small subunit ribosomal RNA
Source: RNAcentral
GACGAACGCUGGCGGCGUGCUUAACACAUGCAAGUCGAACGGAAAGGCCCUGCUUUCGUGGGGUGCUCGAGUGGCGAACGGGUGCGUAACACGUGAGUAACCUGCUCUAGACUUUGGGAUAACUUCAGGAAACUGGGGCUAAUAUCGGAUAGGAGCCCCUGCUGCAUGGUGGGGGUUGGAAAGUUUCGGCGGUUGGGGAUGGACUCGCGGCUUAUCAGCUUGUUGGUGGGGUAGUGGCUUACCCAGGCAUUGACGGGUAGCCGGCCUGAGAGGGUGACCGGCCACAUUGGGACUGCGGUACGGCCCAGACUCCUACGGGAGGCAGCAGUGGGGAAUAUUGCACAGUGGGCGGAAGCCUGAUGCAGCAACGCCGCGUGCGGGAUGACGGCCUUCGGGUUGUGAACCGCUUUCGCCUGUGACGAAGCGUGAGUGACGGUAAUGGGUAAAGAAGCACCGGCUAACUACGUG